RNAcentral lists this ribosomal RNA (430 nucleotides) under Longitarsus minusculus. RNAcentral's name for it is "partial 16S large subunit ribosomal RNA". The record is from RNAcentral. Lineage: Eukaryota; Metazoa; Arthropoda; Insecta; Coleoptera; Chrysomelidae.
GUCUUUUUGAUAUUAAUUUAAGGUUUAACCUGCCCAAUGAAAAUUUGAAUGGCCGCGGUAUUUUGACUGUGCUAAGGUAGCAUAAUCAUUAGUUUUUUAAUUAAAAGCUGGUAUGAAGGGUUGGAUGAAAAAUUAACUGUCUCUAAUUAAUUUUAUUAGAAUUUUAUUUUUAAGUUAAAAAGCUUAAAUAUCUUUAAAAGACGAGAAGACCCUAUAGAGUUUAAUAUAUUUAAUUUAUAAAUAUUUAGAAUUUAUUUUUUAUAAUUAUUAUGUAUUUAAUUGGGGUGAUUAAAAAAUUUAAUAAACUUUUUUUAUAAAUUUAUAUUGAUUAAUAAAUUAAUGAUCCAAGAAUUUUGAUUAUAAGAUAAAUUACCUUAGGGAUAACAGCGUAAUUUUAUUAAAGAGUUCUAAUCGACAAUAAAGUUUGCGA